Long non-coding RNA from Penaeus chinensis, 589 nucleotides. RefSeq lists it as uncharacterized. The record is from RefSeq and is a predicted model, not a curated record. The transcript is spliced from 3 exons. Lineage: Eukaryota; Metazoa; Arthropoda; Malacostraca; Decapoda; Penaeidae.
ACCUCUGACGACUCAGUACAAGCUGGAAAAUCUAAGCAUUACAAUGAAGCAAACCAUCUUCGUUUUCGUUUUCUUUGUGUUGGCUCUGGUCGUGCUGAUGGCGGAAUCGAAGCAUGUUAGUCCCGAGGAAGUCUUAACAAGACUGCGCAGAGACUGCCCUUGUUUCCCCCGCCACUGCUCCUGUGAUAUCACCAACCCUUAUCCUUUCCCUGAUACCUACCUAGCCUGAAGGCCUGACAUCACCCGGGCCCAGAAUCGAGUCAGCACAUCAGUAGGUUUUCAACACGACUGAAGAAGGAUCAUGAGGAGGUGUGUGUGUGUUUGUGUGUGUGUGGACAAGGCUUUAUAACAAUUGCACACACACACAUACGCACGCACACAUAUAAAACAUACACAUAUACAGCACACACACAUAUAAAACACACACAUAUAUAGCACACACACACUUACACACUCACACUCACACACACACAAACACACGCACAUACACACAUACAUGAGCAUUUGUAUGACAUGAAAAUAUAUAACAAUACAUAUAUCUUCAUUAUGGAGGAAUUUUUACAUGCGAAAAUAAAAAAAUAAUUUUUUA